GACGAACGCUGGCGGCGUGCUUAACACAUGCAAGUCGAACGGAAAGGCCCUGCUUUUGUGGGGUGCUCGAGUGGCGAACGGGUGAGUAACACGUGAGUAACCUGCCCUUGACUUUGGGAUAACUUCAGGAAACUGGGGCUAAUACCGGAUAGGAGCUCCUGCUGCAUGGUGGGGGUUGGAAAGUUUCGGCGGUUGGGGAUGGACUCGCGGCUUAUCAGCUUGUUGGUGGGGUAGUGGCUUACCAAGGCUUUGACGGGUAGCCGGCCUGAGAGGGUGACCGGCCACAUUGGGACUGAGAUACGGCCCAGACUCCUACGGGAGGCAGCAGUGGGGAAUAUUGCACAAUGGGCGGAAGCCUGAGGCAGCAACGCCGCGUGCGGGACGACGGCCUUCGGGUUGUAAACCGCUUUCGCCUGUGACGAAGCGUGAGUGACGGUAAUGGGUAAAGAAGCACCGGCUAACUACGUG
RNAcentral lists this ribosomal RNA (468 nucleotides) under uncultured bacterium. RNAcentral describes it as "partial 16S ribosomal RNA". It matches the Rfam family "Bacterial small subunit ribosomal RNA", at positions 28 to 507 of the family's 1533-position model. The record is from RNAcentral.